CUCACAGUGCCGCCGCACGCCGGGUGAUGGCGUCGGGCUCCUCGGGCCCGGCCCGCCGCCAGGCCCCGCUGCCACAGGGGAGGUGCGGCCGGAGCAGGGGUUCAGAGCAUUAUGGCGGCAAGACUCAAGAAGAACAUGAGGGAAAGGACAAGAAGCAAACCUGUACAUGGAAUAUACAUAUCCUGAACUCCAGCCACCUGUAAAUCAUCUCGCUCUCUGUUGCCGACAGGUGGUCCAAGUCAUCAACCACAGGCCUCCAAUUUCUCUUUGGCAGCAGAACAGUAGUCGUUCAGAUUAAAGAAGAAUUUAGCAAGCAGGACCACACACAGCAAAGGAAGGAUGAAGAAUGGAGAAGAUACAGCCUAGGUUCUCCCUUCAAAACUGCUCUUUAUAAAUACCUUUGAAUUUAAAAGUCUGUUUCAGUGUUAUGAAUGUAAAAAACAUCAUAUUACUCUCUUAUGAGCAGGGGGUUCCUUAUCCCUUUCAUUUGCUUUAUUAAACCCUUCCAGUUCUGUGCCUACACUCCCUCUGCAAUGGCAAUAUCAUUACUUUGUUUAAAACAAAUUCAAGGUGUUCAUUCUUUACUUGCAGAGCAUUCUGAAACAUCUGCAUGUGUGUCAUAUGGAAGGUCUUACACAUUCACAUUCCUGAUUUCACUUACAUAGAAGCAAAAAUGAAUUCUCAGAUCUUACUGCAAUACAGGUACAAUUUUAUAUCUAAACUUACUCACAACUUUUCUAUAUUGUAGCAUUAAGAUUUCAUAUAAGUAUUUAAUCUAAAACCAUGAGUAUAUGCUGUCAAAUUCUACCUUUUUUAACAUAGCUUAGUCCAACAACAGACGACCGAAGAGUGAAGGAAGCACUUACCUGAAUUAGAAUCUGGAAAAGACAAAUAGCAAAUAUUGGUUUUCUGAAGAGUGGGGAAAAGAAAAGAGUUGUUAGAUUUCCUGAAACCAUUAAACUAAAACCAAAUUAUAUGUAUUUAUACAGGAACCAUGACUUACCUCUUUAUCUGUGAGUUUUGAA
This is a long non-coding RNA of Melopsittacus undulatus (budgerigar), 1025 nucleotides long. RefSeq lists it as uncharacterized. The record is from RefSeq and is a predicted model, not a curated record. The transcript is spliced from 3 exons. Lineage: Eukaryota; Metazoa; Chordata; Aves; Psittaciformes; Psittaculidae.